This 880-nucleotide ribosomal RNA is filed under the name uncultured delta proteobacterium. RNAcentral describes it as "bacterial SSU rRNA". It matches the Rfam family "Bacterial small subunit ribosomal RNA", at positions 570 to 1431 of the family's 1533-position model. Lineage: Bacteria; Deltaproteobacteria. The record is from RNAcentral.
CGUAGGCGGUCUUAUAAGUCAGAUGUGAAAGCCCGGGGCUCAACCCCGGAAGUGCAUUUGAAACUGGUAGGCUUGAGUAUGGGAGAGGAAAGUGGAAUUCCNUGGUGUAGAGGUGAAAUUCGUAGAUAUCAGGAGGAACACCGGUGGCGAAGGCGACUUUCUGGACCAAUACUGACGCUCAGACUCGAAGGCGUGGGUAGCAAACAGGAUUAGAUACCCUGGUAGUCCACGCAGUAAACGUUGACAACUANGGUGUCGCGGGNUAUUGACCCCUGCGGUGCCGGAGCUAACGCAUUAAGUUGUCCGCCUGGGGAGUACGAUCGCAAGAUUAAAACUCAAAGGGAUUGACGGGGGCCCGCACAAGCGGUGGAGCAUGUGGUUUAAUUCGACGCAACGCGAAGAACCUUACCUGGAUUUGACAUCCUGGNNGAAUCAUUAUGAAAGUUUUGAGUGCCNNCUUCGGGNNNGAGCCCAGUGACAGGUGCUGCAUGGCUGUCGUCAGCUCGUGUCGUGAGAUGUUCGGUUAAGUCCGGCAACGAGCGCAACCCCUAUCUUCAGUUGCCAUCANNNUUUAGUNNUGGGAACUCUGAAGAUACUGCCCCGGUUAACGGGGNAGGAAGGUGGGGAUGACGUCAAGUCCUCAUGGCCCUUAUGUCCAGGGCUACACACGUGCUACAAUGGUAUGUACAGAGGGUAGCGAACUCGCGAGAGCAAGCCAAUCCCCUAAAGCAUAUCUCAGUUCGGAUUGGAGUCUGCAACUCGACUCUAUGAAGUUGGAAUCGCUAGUAAUCGCGGAUCAGCAUNGCCGCGGUGAAUACGUUCCCGGGCCUUGUACACACCGCCCGUCACACCAUGAGAGUUGGUUGUACCAGAAGUUGUG